RNAcentral lists this ribosomal RNA (374 nucleotides) under uncultured prokaryote. RNAcentral describes it as "bacterial SSU rRNA". It matches the Rfam family "Bacterial small subunit ribosomal RNA", at positions 524 to 896 of the family's 1533-position model. The record is from RNAcentral.
UACGUAGGGUGCGAGCGUUAAUCGGAAUUACUGGGCGUAAAGCGUGCGCAGGCGGAUGUUUAAGUCAGAUGUGAAAUCCCCGGGCUCAACCUGGGAACGGCAUUUGAAACUGGCGGACUAGAGUUUAGUAGAGGGGAGUGGAAUUUCAGGUGUAGCGGUGAAAUGCGUAGAUAUCUGAAGGAACACCAGUGGCGAAGGCGACUCCCUGGACUAGAACUGACGCUGAGGUACGAAAGCGUGGGUAGCAAACAGGAUUAGAUACCCUGGUAGUCCACGCCGUAAACGAUGUCAACUAGCCGUUGGUCCUAUUUACAGGAUUAGUGGCGCAGCUAACAAAUUAAGUUGACCGCCUGGGGAGUACGGCCGCAAGGUUA